RNAcentral lists this ribosomal RNA (432 nucleotides) under uncultured bacterium. RNAcentral's name for it is "bacterial SSU rRNA". It matches the Rfam family "Bacterial small subunit ribosomal RNA", at positions 29 to 507 of the family's 1533-position model. The record is from RNAcentral.
AACGAACGCUGGCGGCAGGCCUAACACAUGCAAGUCGAGCGCCCCAGCGAUGGGGAGCGGCGGACGGGUGAGUAACGCGUGGGAACGUGCCUCUUGCUACGGAAUAGCCUCGGGAAACUGGGAGUAAUACCGUAUGUGCCCUACGGGGGAAAGAUUUAUCGGCAAGAGAUCGGCCCGCGUUGGAUUAGGUAGUUGGUGGGGUAAUGGCCUACCAAGCCGACGAUCCAUAGCUGGUUCGAGAGGAUGAUCAGCCACACUGGGACUGAGACACGGCCCAGACUCCUACGGGAGGCAGCAGUGGGGAAUCUUAGACAAUGGGCGCAAGCCUGAUCUAGCCAUGCCGCGUGAGCGAUGAAGGCCUUAGGGUUGUAAAGCCCUUUCAGUGGGAAGAUAAUGACUGUACCCACAGAAGAAGCCCCGGCUAACUCCGUG